RNAcentral lists this unclassified non-coding RNA (1787 nucleotides) under Hevea brasiliensis (rubber tree). The record is from RNAcentral. Lineage: Eukaryota; Viridiplantae; Streptophyta; Magnoliopsida; Malpighiales; Euphorbiaceae.
GCUGAAUUUAGCACUAUGAUCAACAACUGUUUGAUAUAAAUAAUGACUAAAGAGUUGGAAAGAUUUAUCCCACUUAGCACAUAAGGUGAAGGCUCUAAGCUCACUAACAUACAUAGAAUAUGGUCAAGAACCAAAAAUUCCAAUGCCAGGACAAUACAAUAAGUUCUGAUAUAUAAUCAUUUCUCCUUUUUUGUUUUUUCUUUUUCUUUUUCUUCCAAUGGUGCCCUAAGCAUUACCUGCAACAUCAACUUUUGCUUUUUAACAUGAUAUUUCAAUAAAUUUGAGAAGCAACUUCCUAGGAAAUAGUAAUUCAGAAACAAACUUAUUUCCCUGCUUUUGUUCAGAUUUUGUCUGAUGAUUCUUUUAUACAGAAUACAUCUUAACAGUCUUUACAGACUGAAGAUUCAACUUAACUCCUGUAAGCUUGCUUACCAUAGAGCAUGCCAUGUUGAAUCUCAUUCACACAUGCCAAAACUAUGAUCAUACACUAUAUAAUCUACUAAUUGGAUAACAAGAAUCAAACACACAAUCAGAAGUCUCUUACAAAGAUGAGCAUGUAAUGAAAUGAAUUCUCAUAUUUCAAAGAGAACAAUAAAACUGCUUACGAUGCAAAAACCGACUAGGAAGAAUGCGCAUUUUUUUGCUCUUCCUGUUGUUCAUGCUUCUCACCUUGCCAUGCCCAGACAAUGUCCUUGAGAGCUGGCCUUAAACCUUGUUCUAGUACCUGUGUGUACUCCAGUGUAUCACCAGAUGAUUUUUUCACCUCUACCAAAUGAAAAGAUGGAGUAAACUCAAAUACUUCUGCCUCAAUGGACAAUGCACCUUUUCUACCUUUCUCAGAUCCCUCCAAUUUCAACAACCCUCCAUCCUUUUUCUUUACUUCCAACUGCAGAUUCUUAGCAGUGUCCUCUAGUUUAGUUAUGAUAGUUGAGGCAGAGUGCAUUGAAGUGAAUUUUGUUUGUUUCUCCUGGUGACUUUUGUCAAAAAAACCAGAAAAGUCUAACCCGUUUGAAAGAGAGAUGAUAUCAAAAGCAUUCAAACUAGUAGGUUUGCCCAACUCUUUCUUAUCUUCAGAAAAAGUGAGAGUAUCCUCAUAAGGAACCAAAGUUGAAUAGGCCACCACAGGUUCUGGUUUCUUGGCAUCAGCUUUGGUUUUAGCGGCUUUUGAAUUGAAUCCUUUUCUAAACCAGGGAGUUUCCAUUAUUUUGGCAAUGCAAAUUCUAUUACUUGGAUUAGGGUCGAGCAUUUUCGAUACCAGCUUGCGUACUUCAGACGAAAACCAGUUAGGAAAUUUAUAUUCUGCCUUGCUUAUUUUCCUAUACAACGAAAUCAAAUUUGCAUCAUGGAAUGGAAGAUAACCGGCCAGCAAAACAUAUAAGAUUACGCCGCAAGACCAAAUGUCAGCUUUUGCCCCAUCAUAGCCUUUUCUACUGAUAACUUCAGGAGCAACAUAUGCAGGAGUUCCACAAGUUGUGUGGAGCAAACCAUCUUGACUUUCAGACUCAACAAGUGCACUCAAGCCAAAAUCUGAUACUUUUAGAACUCCAUUCUCAUCCAGUAGUAAGUUUUCUGGUUUCAAAUCCCGGUGAUAGACACCUCUGCUGUGACAAAAAUCAACUGCACUGAUUAACUGUUGAAAAUAGUUCCUUGCAGCAUCUUCCUUGAACCUUCCUUUCGCUACCUUCUUAAAAAGCUCACCACCUUUAGCAUAUUCUAUGACAAAGUAAAUCUUGCUUUUAGAGGCCAUGACCUCAUCAAGUUGCAAGACAUUUGGAUGUUUAACCAGU